GACGAACGCUGGCGGCGUGCUUAACACAUGCAAGUCGAACGGAAAGGCCCUGCUUGCUGGGUCCUCGAGUGGCGAACGGGUGAGUAACACGUGGGUGAUCUGCCCUCCACUUCGGGAUAAGCCUGGGAAACUGGGUCUAAUACCGGAUAGCAGACACUUUUAGUGUGAGGGUUGGAAAGUUCUUCCGGUGUAGGAUGAGCUCGCGGCCUAUCGGCUUGUUGGUGGGGUAAUGGCCUACCAAGGCGGCGAGGGGUAGCCGGCCAGAGAGGGUGGACGGCGGCACUGAGACCGAGAGACGGCACAGACGCCGACGGGAGGAAGAAGGGGGGAAUAUUGAACCAGGGGCGCAAGCCUGAUGCAGAGACGCCGCGUGGGGGAUGACGGUCUUCGGGUUGUAAACGCCUUUCGCUAGGGACGAAGCUUUUUGUGACGGUACCUAGAGAAGAAGCACCGGCUAACUACGUG
RNAcentral lists this ribosomal RNA (465 nucleotides) under uncultured bacterium. RNAcentral describes it as "partial 16S ribosomal RNA". It matches the Rfam family "Bacterial small subunit ribosomal RNA", at positions 28 to 507 of the family's 1533-position model. The record is from RNAcentral.